Non-coding RNA from Gossypium hirsutum (cotton), 107 nucleotides. The record is from Rfam. NCBI's taxonomy places the organism in Eukaryota, Viridiplantae, Streptophyta, Magnoliopsida, Malvales, Malvaceae.
AUUUCGUGAUGAAGGCACUUCUGUAAUAAUUCUUUGUACCUUUCCAAUACCUCAUACAAGGACUCAUCAUCCAAUUGUUCAAAAGUAGUGAUCUCGUUCCUCAACUU